AGUCGGUGUCUUCCAAAUCGAUUCAACAUUCAUGUCGAUCGAUGUAUCGUUUGUUGUGCUCAUGACUAUCGAUUGUUUUUUUUUCUCGUUUACACAGUUCUACAGAGAGUAUGUCGUCGCUUGUUCGUUCGAUGGUUAGUUAAGACGGGUGAUUUUGAUUUAUAAUUUACGAGCUGCUAUUACGUAUUAAAAUUUGAAUUUCAAAUACAUUUAAACUGGCAAAAUACGCUGUGGUCAACGAGUGCAACGUGAAACAGCUGUUUACGAAUUUGUUUACUUUGUUACGGGCUAUUGCCGUUGCCUCGUUUAGACGUUUGUGACAGGUUAUGAAGCACAAACUGUCUGCAUUAUGUUUUCAAAGAUGAGUAAGAAAAAACAAUAUUAUUACCAGACAUUCCGUGAUACGUAUAGUGCAGAGUUUCCAUGCAUUUUAAAUUCUGACAAAGGGGAAAGGUUUGGCUUUUGUAAGAUAUGCAGAUGCGACAUCAACAUAUCGCAUGGCGGUAAAAGUGACAUCAGCGUGCACAUCAAAAGUGCGAAGCAUUUAUCCAACGUGAAAUGCCAAGAAGAUAAUCACAAACUUUCAAGGUUCUUUGUUAAAUCUGGGGGUGCAGAUCUUGACAUUACGCGAUCUAAGUGUUUAUUUACUUCGUUUUUGAUAGAGCAUACCAUUCCUCUAGCGGCCGCAGAUCAUGCAGGUGCGCUUGUCAAAAAAAUGUUCCCAGACUCGGAAAUUGCCAAGAAAUAUGGAUGUGGGCGUACCAAAACUUCUGCUAUUAUGAAAGAGAUGGCUUCGGAUGCAAAAUCCGGAGUAGUGCAGUACUUAAAAAGUGGGCCGUUUUCAGUCGCAACUGAUGGUAGCAACGAUACUAGUUUUAAGUUGUAUCCCAUUGUAGUUACGUUUUAUGAUGAAGCACAGUAUAAAAUUGUAAAUGUUGUUCUUUCCAUUCCUGUUCUGGAAGGUGACUGCACCGGACGGAAUAUUGGUAAUUUAAUGCUUUCCCAAUUUGAAUGUAAUGGUAUUCCCAUUGAACACUGCAUUGCAUUUUGCUCAGACAAUGCAGCUGUUAUGAUAGGGCAUAAAAAUGGUGUUGCAGCAGUGUUGAAGGAAAAACACCCUGGGCUUAUUGAGAUUGGCUGUGUUUGUCAUCUAAUAAACUUAGCUGCAGAAAAAGCUGCAUCUUCUCUGCCAGUAAAAGUCGAUGACAUUCUUGUAGACAUUUUUUAUUAUUUGGAGAAGAGUUCCAAGAGAAAAGAAAGGUUACACAAGUUUCAAGAUCUGUACGAUACAGAAGCCAAGAAAAUUCUUAAACAUGUGUGUUCAAGAUGGCUUUCUCUUGGAAGAAGUUUGUUGAGGGUUUUUGAGCAAUGGCAACCAUUACUUAGCUUUUUUAAGGCAGAGGUAUUAAAUCAGAAACAAUCUGUGUGUCUAACCUCUUACAAAAUUCCUAAGCUUCAACAGUCAUCCUGUGCAAGCUCUAGUGGAGCCCAUCAAGGCAUAGAUAAAGAGACAGAGAAGAAAAGGAAACCAAGUUCUGUUUCCUUUACCAGCCAUAAAAAAGUUGCUUCACCUUCGGCAAAAAAUGAUGUUUCUAUUCUGAAGAAUGAAAGUCCUUUUAUGAAUCGAGAAGAAAAACUAUUUAUGUUUCUUUCUUCUGACCUCAAUAAAGCACUGUGUGCAUUUCUCCUAAGUGUUGUGCCAUCAUUUGAAAAACUGAAUGUCAUUCUUCAAUCAUCAUCACCUCAUAUUCACAUUUUAAGAGAACUGUUGCUUAAUUUUUUAAGAGAAUUGAUUUCAAACUUUGUAAAACCAAGAACUGUAAAUAGUUGCUCAUUACUUGAACUUGACUACCAUAGUGUCCAGAAUCAAAAAGAUGACGUGGAUUUAGUUAUUGGAUGUCAAGCAUCUAGAAUUGCACAAACACUUGAUGAAAAGAAAAAACAGCUUUUCUUUGCAGCUGUUAGGAACUACUUUGUUACAGCUUGUGACUACAUUGUUAAUAAAUUCCCCAUCAGAAAUGCAGUGUUGAAGAAUGCAGAAGUGGCAAGAAUGAAAAAUAUUCAGGAUUCCAGCUUUUCAUCUGUUCACUAUUUUGUGGAUUUGUUUCCUAUUAUUCUUCCUGUUCAAGAAGGCGAAUCAAGAGAUGCAGCUAUGGAUAAAGUGACAAAACAAUUCUCAGCUCUUCAGAUUGAUGAUAUUUUGGGCAUUGUUGACAUGGAAGAGAGUGAAGAUGUGAAGUGGGCUAAGUUAGCCAAAAUUCGUGGAGUUGAUGGUAUUUUGAAAUAUGAUAAAAUUUGUAGAAUAAUGCUGUCAAUACUUUCCAUUCCACACAGCAAUGCGGAAUGUGAAAGGAUUUUCAGUUUGGUGAAAAAGAACAGAACACAAUUCAGAUCCUCCAUAUCCAGUGACACUUUAGAAUCCCUUUCAAUAUUGAAGACAAGAAAAUCAAAUUUGUGUUAUGAACAAAAUUUUAGUUCUGAGUUCUUAAAGAGAGCAAAGAAGGCAACAGUUGCUUCUUUAAAGCCACAGUGCUCCAGUGCUCCAAAUUAGCUAAGCAUUUAUUUAUUUUUUUUUCUUCUUAUAAUCCACAUUUUUUGACUAUAUUAUAUUAAUUUUCUGGCAAAAUUAUUAUCGGAAGCAAAGAUAGAUUCUGUGAGUUGUAUUCUUGUGUGAAAUAUUGUGCUGAUCUUCAAGUAUCACAGUGAACAGGUAACAACACACAAAUAUUUUUUAAUGUAGCUAUAGCUUAUUUGAUAGUGGGUGGUUUGUGUAAUUUAGUUGUAUUUUAGCAGUACAAGUCUGCAUUGUAGCCAUAUAGGUAAUUUUUUUUGUCGAAAUCGGUAAUUUUAUUUGUGUUAAUAAUCUUCCUAAUUCAGAUUUUCAUAGGUUGGCAGGUAUGCAUAUGGCUUUCUGCGUACUUUUCUGUAAACCUGUAAGUAUAUAAACACAAUAAUUAACCAAUCCAAUGUAAAAAUAUGGCCGCAACAAAAACUUUUGGAUACUAAUUAAAUUAUUCUGUUAUAAAUCAUCGCUUUAACGUUUUGAGUAUCAUCUUAACAUUAUCAAGUAAUUUCUUUAUAAUGCAUGUUAGUAAACUGUAUGUAAAGUACUUAAUGAAUUCUGAUGCCAAGAAACCUAGAAGUAGGUCAGUAGGUGGUUCACGGUUACGAUGGACUAAGCCCAGGUUACGUAUUUAUAAUAUAACAUUUGGCACAGUGAAACAAAUGUAUUGUUAGGAGUUUAGAAUUUUAAAACAUUCAGUUUGGCAUUGCACAAGUACUACCAUCUUGGGCUUGGUCAAACAAAAGUGUUUCGCGCAAUUAUAAAUUGCCUGAAUUAAAAUGAUGACUAUUAAUGCCCCUGAUUACAACCAAAUCGUUUAACAAUAGAUAGUGAUACUAUGAAUUAUGUUUUUUUAUAUGUAUGUGCUGUUCAUAUUUAGUGUUUUUAGGUAGUACAUGGUGAUAUUUUGACAGCCUAAAAGAGUGUUUUUUUUUUUUGUAGAAAAGUGUUUUCUCUCUUUUAGCUACUUCUUAAGUUUUGUCACCCCCAAAAUUUUGCCACCCUGCUCAUUUAUCCACUUCUUUCUGAAAAGUAAAAAUCAGUCAAAAUGUGUGUGGAUGCUGUGCGCGUUAGAUUGAUAUUCUUCACAUAAUGCUGUUUUAAUUAAUAGUUUAUACUGCCAGUCAGUACCAGACUAUCUCCAUUAAGAGUUACCUCUUUUGUUUUAGUGACUUCGACAUGAAAAGAACAAUAGACUCCUAUUUUAAUGUCGCAGCAGGGCCCAGUCAAAAACCGCGAACUGAAGCAGGCCCAUCACCAUCAGUCCAGCUGACUGAACAGAAAUGCUUUGAAAAUGAAAGUGCAGAAUUAUCCAGUCCGCAUCCAGCAAAAUCAUCCGAAAAAGUAGAACGUCACUACAACAAAAAUUGGGAACAGAAAUACAGUUGGCUGAUCUACAAUGAAGAAAAAGGAGGUGCAUUUUGUAAACUAUGUGAAAACUUCAUGAAAAAUGAUGCAAAGGUUCUGCAAAAAACAGGGAGUGUUUAUUACUACUCCAUUUACAUCUUUCAGAAAAGCUUUAGGAAAGAAUGGAAAAUUAGAGAAGCAUGAACAUUCUGCAGCUCACUCAAUAAGUGUAGAAAUGGAGAACCUCAGAAGACAUGCUACGAGGAAACCUAUUCAUACUCAAAUGAUUCAACAGAGUGAAAAUGAAAGAGACAUAAAUAGAAAAGGCUUAAAAACUCUCUUGCGCGGCUUGUACUUUUUAGUAAAGAAAGAAAUAGCUCACACUACUACAUAUAACAGCUUGAUUGAAGGUCUUCUCGACAAACUGAAUGAAGAUUUUAGUAAAUGGAGAAAUUCUCUAAGUGACAGAUCGAAUUAUAGCAGCAAGGACACCGCCUGCGAGCUUUUGGUCUGUAUGGGCGAAAUUUUGAGAGAAGAAUUAAAGGCCACAUUAAAACACAAGAAAUUCUCUGUUCUAGAUGAUGAAAGUACUUCACUACGAAAUGAAAUGGAGCUCAGCAUUAUGUUUAGAGUUGUGGAAGAUAAAGUACCAGUGGAAAAGUUCUUAGCAAUAGUCAAAAUCCCAAAUGGAAAGGCAGAAACUAUUGCAGAUGCAAUUGACAAGGAACUUGCUGCUCUUGAUUUAAAUUAUGAAAAUAUUAUUGCCUUUGGAUUUGAUGGUGCUUCUAAUAUGGCUGGAAACAUUGGAGGUGUAAGAAGGAAGCUUUCAGAGAAGGCGAACAAGGAAGUUAUUUACAUACACUGUAGAGCACACAUCUUGUCCCUGGCAGCAGCUUCCUGCAGGAAUAAAAAUCAGAAAGUCAAAAGGUUUUUCCAUGUUUUGAAAGACAUUUAUAAGCUGUUUAGUAAGGGCCGGUUUCACCAAGCAGGUUUAAUUUUGUUACAAAACGAGAUUUACAAAACUAGAUGAAGUAUAAUCGUAAGUUUAAUUCCGACGUGUGUUUCACCAUCGUUAAACAAGUUUAAAUUAAUCGAGAUUUCUAAAACUCGAUUUAUAAAUGCCUUCCACAUAAAAACACCCAUUACCUAGCGAAUAUACCCGAAUAUCUGUCGGAGAUACCCGAAUAUGUAUUUUUUUCCUCUCUCGUAGAUGCAGCUUUUGGUCGAGCGUAAUUUAUGGUGGCCGCAUCAACCUAAAAAAAACUUUUUAUUUUUUUUUGAAAAAAAUAGUAAUACCGUGAAUACCGUGGAAAUUGUCAUAUCGCAAAUAAAUAUGAAUGGCAAUGGUGCAGUUUCAGCUGCAAUUAAAGAAAAGCGACAAAGAAGUCGAAAUCUUUCGCCACAUGAAAAGACAGUUUUGUUAGAUCAGGUAACUGAACACUUCUCUGUGAUUGAAAAUCGUCGUACAGAUGCUGUCACACAACAGCAGAAGGCGAAAGAAUGGGAGAUUAUUGCUGCCGAAUUCAAUUCGAUUUGCAAUCAGUACCACCGAAUGCCAGACCAGCUGAAAUCGUCGUGGGAGAACAUGAAGAAACUGACGAGAAAGAUACAUGCCGACAACCGAAUUGAAACGUUAUGCACAGGUAAGGUAUUUUAUGGCAUUCAUGCUGAUUGUUUUGGUUGCAGUGGCCUUUUAUUUGGCUAGAUGUUUGUGUGUAACAUGCUACAUCAGACAUGUAGUUUGUAUAUACAACAAAAUAUAUCGAAACUUUUGAAACUGGUUAAAUUAUUGCUGUUGCAUGGAACCCCCUUCCCCCUCAAAACACACUUUUAUAGGCUUCUGUGUUGGUUGCAUAGGUCGAUUCCGUCUUGUCAUAACCUACAUUUUGGUAUGAUUUAACUUUGGGAUACCAUCGACUGACCUACGGAUAUGUAACUAUGAAUUGCAAAUUGCUUUGCUCUUGUCAGAGUAUCCUAGCCUAAUGCAACCUAUAUUUGACUAUAGAUGGCCAUCAUUUGCUAUUUGUGUUUAGUGGACAUUUGAGUAAUAUACUAAUCAUUGUAUUAGGCUUACGGUUAAAGUAUUUAUUUUGUUUUUUCUAAUCUAUAAAGCUCAUAAUGUUUUUUCAAGUUCAGCAAGUACAAGUCAUCUUUCUCGUACACGAAAGUGAAAUCUUUCUAGCCCACUUCUACUUGUAGCAAACUUGUAUUGCGAGUAUUGCUGAACUAGUGACUAGCAUACAAUAUGUCUAACCAGUGACAUUAGAAAGCUUAAAUCUUUUUAUAUUUUUUCUUUGCAUGGGAAAUGUAAAUCUUUGACAUAUUAUCUAUUAGCAUUCAAAAACUUUAAAUAAAAACUUACACUUUGCACCUUUUUCGCUAACUACAACUGUAUGUAUGCAUCACAAUUAUUGUAGUUAUUCUGGUUAGCAUAAUGCAGUACCUUAGUUGACUUUAUCUUGUACAAAUAGGCUAUGAAGAGAGCAUAUGAUGUCAUGUAGGCCUAUUUAUCAUUUGUGAGUUUACUAUUUUUUUAUUUUGUAUUUUAUUUUCAGGUGGAGGCCCACCAAAAAAAACAAUUAAAGAUGAUCCACUGUUUGUUCGAAUUUAUGAGCUGAUUAGGCCCACAGUAGAAGGCAUGUAUAAUGCAUUUGAUACAGAUUCGAUUGCAGCACAUCUGGACACGUCUUCAGCCGGAAACACUGUGCAUGCAGACUGUGGACAAGAAUCACAAAUAGAAACAUGCUCGAAAAAUGAAGACAUUGGAACUGUUGUUGAUGUUACUUAUGUGGAGUCAAGCGAAGAUGCUCUCCUCAAUGGAAACUGGACACAUUAUUCGCCAGCCAUGCUGAGGAAAACAAAGUGCUCGCUACUGAGGACUCCAGUGAGCACUCCUAAAAGAACGCUGGAGGAACCAAUGCCACAAACAGUGUGUCCAAUGGGAAACGACAAAGCUGAAGAUGAACCAGCUGCAGUGCCCUGUAGAAAUGAAAAUGUUAGUGUAAAUUCUGUACCUGUCAGUGGAACAUCUGUACCUGCCCCUGCUUCAUCUUGGAGAAGCAGACGUCGUCCACCCUUGCAUACGCAGAAGAUUGGGGAUUUAAGUGCCCUUCAUGCCGCUAAAAUAGAACUCAUUGAGAUGACAAAAAAACAUUCUGUAGAGGAAUCAAAAAUGCAAAAGGAAUGGUUUGACUUAAAAAUGUUACAGGAACAGGAAAUUUUGAAACAAGAGAAAUUGAAAACUGCCAUUUUAUCACUCCAAGUGCGUAAAUUGCAAAAUGAUCUGCAAUAGGUAACUUUAAAGAGUGUUAUUCAAUUUUUUUAUUAAACUAAAUACUUUGUUGAAUGUAGAAAAUGAGGUACUCAUGUCUUAUCCUGUAUGCUAUUAUUUGCAUGUAUUAAAUUAUGUAUAUUUUAUAGACCUUUACUUAGCAUAUGUUUUUACAAUAGACAAAUUUUGCAGUUAAUUAGUCCCGAAAAGCAGGGACUGGAAGUAACGCGUUACUACUAGUAACUACGUUAUUUGUAACAGUUACUUUUUAUGGUAACGAUCGUGGUAACGCAUUAUUAAGUUUUCAGUAACCGAAUUACAUUUUUCCGCCUUAAAGUAACGAUAGUUGUCGUUACUUCUUGCGUUAGAUUUUUUAAAUGUAUUUCUUAUUGAACGAACAACGAUUUGUUGAUUUUUUCAAUCCCAGAACGAAAAUCCCGACAAGCAUAUUAUUUGAGAUGGUAUUUCUUGUACUUGUAAAACUGCUGUUGGCUAGCCUGCGCUCGUAUUUUGAUUGUCAUUUAUUUAAUAUUUGCGACAUGCGGGUUUACUGCUGUUCUGUUUAAUUAAUUAACCUACCUGUGCACAUGCGCGAAAGCAAUGACAGAAUCUAAUGAAGCGAGAAGCCGAGAAAGCAGUUCAGAACUUUCGUUGCCGUGGCUUUCAUAUUCUAAAUAUUUCGAAGUUCGGUCAAGUGAUCAAAAUAACCUUAUUGUGAAGUGCUUCUUGUGUGGUGCUGCGAAAAAUAGGAUGAUCCGAACGAACGAACAUUUCAUUAUUUUUUUUAGUGUAAACUAUACUCAAUGUACAUUAUUUUGUAGUGUAAACUAUACUCAAUGUAAUUUAAGACCUAGGUAAUUUAAAAAUUUUCAGUUUAAGUAAACAUAUAUCUUUACUUAACACAAUAUGUUUUAUUAGCUUUUAAUUAUAACAAUAUUACAUAUCACAUUUUUAGUUUUUCACAAAGUAACUGUUAAAGUAACUUAGUUACUUUUCUCAGAACUGUAACUGGUGUAUUUUCAGUAGUGUAACUUGUAGUUGUAACAGGGUUACAUUUCCAAUGGAAUAUUUGUAACUGUAACUGAGUUACUUUUUAAAAGUAACUUUCCGGUCCCUGCCGAAAAGUGAUAUAGGCUUUUCAAAUAUAAUAGUUUAAAGUUUAACAUUUGUUUGUUACAGCAGGGCUGCUGUUGGUCAACCACUACUUUUUUUGCUAUGAACGUAACUCAUCGCUGAUUCCCGAUAAAAAUCAAUUUUUGAAACUUAAGAAGUUAUUUUAUAGAAUAUAUUGCAAUGAAUAAAAUGCAAUAAUAUUCAUAAUUUUUUUAAUGUUUGCAUUGCCAAUUUAGUACUUAACUGAAAUAUAAAAUUAGAUGAAAAAGUUCCACCAUUCCAUUAAAUAGCCAUGGAUUUUUAAGUGGAUAUAAAAUUACCUGUCAUAAACUGUUUUCAAAGUGAUUUGACCAAGAUUUUUUUUCUGCUCAUGCAAAACAAAAUGGUUAAAAAACACGUGCUGCAUGUUGAUAUGUUGUAAAAUUUGCUUUAUGUUCCAAUUAAUUAUUUCUGCUUGAAAUAAUGUACUUGUAUAGUUUUAACUUUCUAUUACAGGGCAAUCAUUUCACAUGUGUUACUUUCAACAUACUUGUACAAAAUGCUUAGAAGGAAAAUAAAGUCAUUAAUUUUUGUGUAAA
This is an RNA transcript of Bacillus rossius redtenbacheri, 8872 nucleotides long. RefSeq lists it as uncharacterized. Lineage: Eukaryota; Metazoa; Arthropoda; Insecta; Phasmatodea; Bacillidae. The transcript is spliced from 3 exons. The record is from RefSeq and is a predicted model, not a curated record.